UCCAGCUUAAAUGUUUGAAGACCUAUCGUUCAAAAAGAACGAUACAGGAUAAUAGAUAGUGUCUGAAAGCUUUUACCAUAAGAGUUAUGAGCUUUAUUUGGGAGCUUUUGAGUUUUGCUUGACUCCUCCUGCUAUUUGCCUCAGUUUGAACUUAUUUUUGCUUUAGACUGGCCUACAUCUUUACCUUGGAUCUGCAUGCUUUAACCUCGGAUCAACAUGCUUUAUCUUGGAUUUGCAUGCUU
RNAcentral lists this long non-coding RNA (242 nucleotides) under Elaeis guineensis (African oil palm). RNAcentral describes it as "long non-coding RNA (EGUI_LNC040731)". Lineage: Eukaryota; Viridiplantae; Streptophyta; Magnoliopsida; Arecales; Arecaceae. The record is from RNAcentral.